RNAcentral lists this transfer RNA (66 nucleotides) under Diplodiscus japonicus. RNAcentral describes it as "tRNA-Cys". The record is from RNAcentral. Lineage: Eukaryota; Metazoa; Platyhelminthes; Trematoda; Plagiorchiida; Diplodiscidae.
GGGUGCGAGCAUGUUAAUGUAUUUAACCUUGCAAAGGUUAAAUUGAGUUUAGAGACUCCGUAUCUU